UUCAUAGAGUGUAAAGGCAUAAGGGAGCUUGACUGCGAGACCUACAAGUCGAGCAGGGUCGAAAGACGGACUUAGUGAUCCGGUGGUUCCGCAUGGAAGGGCCAUCGCUCAACGGAUAAAAGCUACCCCGGGGAUAACAGGCUUAUCUCCCCCAAGAGUUCACAUCGACGGGGAGGUUUGGCACCUCGAUGUCGGCUCAUCGCAUCCUGGGGCUGUAGUCGGUCCCAAGGGUUGGGCUGUUCGCCCAUUAAAGCGGUACGCGAGCUGGGUUCAGAACGUCGUGAGACAGUUCGGUCCCUAUCCGUCGUGGGCGUAGGAAAUUUGAGAGGAGCUGUCCUUAGUACGAGAGGACCGGGAUGGACAUACCUCUGGUGUACCAGUUGUCGUGCCAACGGCAUAGCUGGGUAGCUAUGUGUGGACGGGAUAAGUGCUGAAAGCAUCUAAGCAUGAAGCCCCCCUCAAGAUGAGAUUUCCCAACUUCGGUUAUAAGAUCCCUCAAAGAUGAUGAGGUUAAUAGGUUCGAGGUG
This 527-nucleotide ribosomal RNA is filed under the name Staphylococcus aureus. Its description in RNAcentral is "partial 23S ribosomal RNA". It matches the Rfam family "Bacterial large subunit ribosomal RNA", at positions 2341 to 2869 of the family's 2925-position model. Lineage: Bacteria; Bacillati; Bacillota; Bacilli; Caryophanales; Staphylococcaceae. The record is from RNAcentral.